Momordica charantia (bitter melon) is the source of this 254-nucleotide non-coding RNA. The record is from RefSeq and is a predicted model, not a curated record. NCBI's taxonomy places the organism in Eukaryota, Viridiplantae, Streptophyta, Magnoliopsida, Cucurbitales, Cucurbitaceae.
UUGUUGUCAAUGUCAAACAUUUUGAAUGCCACUGAAAAGCUGGACUCUGGUAUGCUGAGUAGGGUAACAAAAAAGAUGUACCUGCAAGUUAUUGGCAACAAAAUGCUUUGUUUUACAAAAUAGUGAACUUAAAUGGUGAAAGAAUAAGGGAUGGAUUGCUCAACUCUGCAAAAGAGAUGAGGCCAUCACUGUUGAUGUCGAAGAGCAUGAAGAAUUCUGAAGGAACACAAUAUAAUUCUCCAUGAAUUCUUUCU